Triticum aestivum (bread wheat) is the source of this 87-nucleotide non-coding RNA. NCBI's taxonomy places the organism in Eukaryota, Viridiplantae, Streptophyta, Magnoliopsida, Poales, Poaceae. The record is from Rfam.
GGAGAGAUGGUUGAGUGGUUCAAGGCGUAGCAUUGGAACUGCUAUUUAGGCUUUUGUUUACUGACGGUUCGAAUCCCUCUCUUUCCG